This 499-nucleotide ribosomal RNA is filed under the name uncultured bacterium. RNAcentral's name for it is "bacterial SSU rRNA". It matches the Rfam family "Bacterial small subunit ribosomal RNA", at positions 29 to 524 of the family's 1533-position model. The record is from RNAcentral.
AUUGAACGCUGGCGGAAUGCUUUACACAUGCAAGUCGAGCGGCAGCGCGGGGCAACCUGGCGGCGAGCGGCGAACGGGUGAGUAACACAUCGGAACGUGCCCAGGAGUGGGGGAUAGCCCGGCGAAAGCCGGAUUAAUACCGCAUACGAACUGAGGUUGAAAGCGGGGGGACCGAAAGGCCUCGCGCUCGUGGAGCGGCCGAUGGCAGAUUAGGUAGUUGGUGGGGUAAAGGCCCACCAAGCCUGCGAUCUGUAGCUGGUCUGAGAGGACGACCAGCCACACUGGGACUGAGACACGGCCCAGACUCCUACGGGAGGCAGCAGUGGGGAAUUUUGGACAAUGGGCGCAAGCCUGAUCCAGCCAUUCCGCGUGCAGGACGAAGGCCUUCGGGUCGUAAACUGCUUUGUACGGAGCGAAAGGGUCCUGCCUAAUACGUGGGGCAUAUGACGGUACCGUAAGAAUAAGCACCGGCUAACUACGUGCCAGCAGCCGCGGUAAU